This 253-nucleotide ribosomal RNA is filed under the name uncultured bacterium. Its description in RNAcentral is "partial 16S ribosomal RNA". It matches the Rfam family "Bacterial small subunit ribosomal RNA", at positions 524 to 776 of the family's 1533-position model. The record is from RNAcentral.
UACGAAGGGGGCUAGCGUUGCUCGGAAUCACUGGGCGUAAAGCGCACGUAGGCGGAUCUUUAAGUCAGGGGUGAAAUCCCAAGGCUCAACCUUGGAACUGCCUUUGAUACUGGGGAUCUCGGGUCCGGAAGAGGUGAGUGGAACUGCGAGUGUAGAGGUGAAAUUCGUAGAUAUUCGCAAGAACACCAGUGGCGAAGGCGGCUCACUGGUCCGGUACUGACGCUGAGGUGCGAAAGCGUGGGGAGCAAACAGG